This 498-nucleotide ribosomal RNA is filed under the name uncultured bacterium. RNAcentral's name for it is "bacterial SSU rRNA". It matches the Rfam family "Bacterial small subunit ribosomal RNA", at positions 28 to 526 of the family's 1533-position model. The record is from RNAcentral.
GAUGAACGCUGGCGGCGUGCUUAACACAUGCAAGUCGAACGAAGCAAUCAUACGGAAGUUUUCGGAUGGAAGAAUGAUUGACUGAGUGGCGGACGGGUGAGUAACGCGUGGAUAACCUACCUCAUACAGGGGGAUAACAGUCAGAAAUGACUGCUAAUACCGCAUAAGCGCACAGGGCCGCAUGGUCCGGUGUGAAAAACUCCGGUGGUAUGAGAUGGAUCCGCGUCUGAUUAGCUAGUUGGAGGGGUAACGGCCCACCAAGGCGACGAUCAGUAGCCGACCUGAGAGGGUGACCGGCCACAUUGGGACUGAGACACGGCCCAAACUCCUACGGGAGGCAGCAGUGGGGAAUAUUGCACAAUGGGGGAAACCCUGAUGCAGCGACGCCGCGUGAAGGAAGAAGUAUUUCGGUAUGUAAACUUCUAUCAGCAGGGAAGAAAAUGACGGUACCUGACUAAGAAGCCCCGGCUAAUUACGUGCCAGCCGCCGCCGUAACAC